GUUGCGUUUUGUAGUGACCAUUGAGAGCUGGGGCUCUCUUCAAGUCUUAAUAUAAUUUGAACAGGGCCAAUCUCUGCGAGUCCCCUCGACCGAUGCAUGGUGUGUGAGUAGAUGAUAAAAGAGAAGAGAAGAAAGAGGAAAAGUUAGAAUUGAAAUGAUAAAAACUUAGAAGUCAGAAGUCAUAAAACUGAAAGAGAAGAGAGUAUACUGUUGUGAACGAUUGAUUUCCCGGUGAGUAACGAUCAAUGUUUACAUUAUAAAAUGAGCCUUGUACUCUCUCUUUAGUCGGGAUGAACUCGAAACAGGUCGGAGUAAUUUAUUAAUGUCAGAAGACAUUAUGUGUUUAUGUGCUUUAUGAAUCUUGUGCUGUUAUUUUAUUACUGUGAGUGAAACUCCUGAUAGAGUGUUGAGUUUGAAAUGGUGUUUGUACGGUUGUGAAUAGUAAAAUUAAUGUAUUUUAUGCAAAUAAUUCGAGCUGUAUGCUAAAAGAAAGAAACUGAGUUUAUUUUAAAAAUCCUCAUGUAAAUCCAUGUUUUGGUUGCUCUGAGUUAUGAUGGGUAUUAAGAAUUCAUGUAAAAAUGACAGUAAAAAGUUAAUUUUGACAUUGCAAAGCAGUAAAUGUAUCUAUUUGCAUUCAAAUUGACCUUUUAUUAUGGACUAAAUGAGAUCAUUUUCCUGCAUAGGCCGUUUUUUUUCUUUUGAGUCCUUCACCUGGGUCUAGACUAUUUUUUUAAAAUAUUUUUUAUAAAUGAACUGUAUGUCAAUCAGUAUUUAUCCUGUGCAUCAGUGACUGUUGGAAAAAAAAUGCAAUAAAAUGUGAUCCGU
Larimichthys crocea (large yellow croaker) is the source of this 825-nucleotide long non-coding RNA. RefSeq lists it as uncharacterized. The record is from RefSeq and is a predicted model, not a curated record. The transcript is spliced from 2 exons. NCBI's taxonomy places the organism in Eukaryota, Metazoa, Chordata, Actinopteri, Sciaenidae.